RNAcentral lists this microRNA precursor (71 nucleotides) under Ciona intestinalis (vase tunicate). RNAcentral describes it as "miRNA (ENSCING00000022777.1)". The record is from RNAcentral. Lineage: Eukaryota; Metazoa; Chordata; Ascidiacea; Phlebobranchia; Cionidae.
ACCCCAUAUACAGUCAACCCCGCAUAAUCGGACAAGUUUGGCUUGGUCCCGAUGUGGUCCGAUUAAGCGGG